AGAUCAUUUUGUGGGCAAUUCCUUAUCAGGCCUUUGUAGCGCUCCCAUGCUUCGUACAACGACUCCCCCAAUUGUUGUUCAAAAUUGGUGAUGGCCUUUUUGAGCUU
This is a small nucleolar RNA of Lactuca sativa (garden lettuce), 107 nucleotides long. NCBI's taxonomy places the organism in Eukaryota, Viridiplantae, Streptophyta, Magnoliopsida, Asterales, Asteraceae. The record is from RefSeq and is a predicted model, not a curated record.